CUUAAAUAAUUUAAAUAAAAAUAUUGAUUUGUGGUAUCAAAAAUGUGGAGUAAUUCAUUUUAGGUU
Molecule: transfer RNA, 66 nt
Filed under: Junonia hedonia
Lineage: Eukaryota; Metazoa; Arthropoda; Insecta; Lepidoptera; Nymphalidae
Description: tRNA-His
Source: RNAcentral